This 73-nucleotide transfer RNA is filed under the name Ixodes scapularis (black-legged tick). It matches the Rfam family "tRNA". Rfam says of the family: Transfer RNA (tRNA) molecules are approximately 80 nucleotides in length. Their secondary structure includes four short double-helical elements and three loops (D, anti-codon, and T loops). Lineage: Eukaryota; Metazoa; Arthropoda; Arachnida; Ixodida; Ixodidae. The record is from Rfam by way of RNAcentral.
CCUUGGUUAGCACAGUUGGUAGAGCACUCCACUGGAAAUGGAGAGGUCCCGGGUUCGAUACUCAAACCAGGCG